AGAGUUUGAUCAUGGCUCAGGACGAACGCUGGCGGCGCGCUUAACACAUGCAAGUCGAGCGAGAACCGGGGCUUCGGCCCCGGGGAAAGCGGCGAACGGGUGAGUAACACGUGAGUAAUCCACCCUCGGUACCGGGAUAGCCCGGGGAAACCCGGAUUAAUACCGGAUGGCCCGUCUGCCCUUCGGGGCGGCCGGAAAAGGUAGCUUCGGCCUCCGACCGAGGACGAGCUCGCGGCGGAUUAGCUUGUUGGUGGGGUAACGGCCUACCAAGGCGACGAUCCGUAGCUGGUCUGAGAGGACGAUCAGCCACACUGGGACUGAGACACGGCCCAGACUCCUACGGGAGGCAGCAGUGGGGAAUCUUGCGCAAUGGGCGAAAGCCUGACGCAGCGACGCCGCGUGCGGGAAGAAGGCCUUCGGGUUGUAAACCGCUUUCAGGAGGGACGAAGCCACUCGGGUUAAUAGCCCAGAGGGUGACGGUACCUCCAGAAGAAGCCCCGGCUAACUACGUGCCAGCCGCCGCGGUAAUAC
Molecule: ribosomal RNA, 531 nt
Filed under: uncultured bacterium
Lineage: Bacteria
Description: bacterial SSU rRNA
Rfam family: Bacterial small subunit ribosomal RNA
Source: RNAcentral